UACGUAGGGUGCGAGCGUUAAUCGGAAUUACUGGGCGUAAAGCGUGCGCAGGCGGCUUUGCAAGACAGAUGUGAAAUCCCCGGGCUCAACCUGGGAACUGCAUUUGUGACUGCAAGGCUAGAGUACGGCAGAGGGGGAUGGAAUUCCGCGUGUAGCAGUGAAAUGCGUAGAUAUGCGGAGGAACACCAAUGGCGAAGGCAAUCCCCUGGGCCUGUACUGACGCUCAUGCACGAAAGCGUG
This 240-nucleotide ribosomal RNA is filed under the name uncultured bacterium. RNAcentral describes it as "partial 16S ribosomal RNA". It matches the Rfam family "Bacterial small subunit ribosomal RNA", at positions 524 to 763 of the family's 1533-position model. The record is from RNAcentral.